Molecule: ribosomal RNA, 253 nt
Filed under: uncultured bacterium
Lineage: Bacteria
Description: partial 16S ribosomal RNA
Rfam family: Bacterial small subunit ribosomal RNA
Source: RNAcentral
GACAGAGGUCCCGAGCGUUGUUCGGAUUCAUUGGGCGUAAAGGGUGUGUAGGAGGUUGGGUAAGUCAGGUGUGAAAUCUCACAGCUUAACUGUGAAACUGCGCUUGAUACUGCUCGGCUAGAGGAUCGGAGGGGGUAACGGAAUUUAUGGUGUAGCAGUGAAAUGCGUAGAUAUCAUAAGGAACACCGGUGGCGAAGGCGGUUACCUGGAAGAUUCCUGACUCUGAAACACGAAAGCCAGGGGAGCAAACGGG